This 497-nucleotide ribosomal RNA is filed under the name uncultured bacterium. RNAcentral's name for it is "partial 16S ribosomal RNA". It matches the Rfam family "Bacterial small subunit ribosomal RNA", at positions 28 to 507 of the family's 1533-position model. The record is from RNAcentral.
GACGAACGCUGGCGGCGUGCCUAAUACAUGCAAGUUGAGCGCUGAAGGUUGGUACUUGUACCGACUGGAUGAGCAGCGAACGGGUGAGUAGCGCGUGGGGAAUCUGCCUUUGAGCGGGGGACAACAUUUGGAAACGAAUGCUAAUACCGCAUAAAAACUUUAAACACAAGUUUUAAGUUUGAAAGAUGCAAUUGCAUCACUCAAAGAUGAUCCCGCGUUGUAUUAGCUAGUUGGUGGGGUAAAGGCUCACCAAGGCGAUGAUACAUAGCCGACCUGAGAGGGUGAUCGGCCACAUUGGGACUGAGACACGGCCCAAACUCCUACGGGAGGCAGCAGUAGGGAAUCUUCGGCAAUGGACGAAAGUCUGACCGAGCAACGCCGCGUGAGUGAAGAAGGUUUUCGGAUCGUAAAACUCUGUUGGCAGAGAAGAACGUUGGUGAGAGUGGAAAGCUCAUCAAGUGACGGUAACUACCCAGAAAGGGACGGCUAACUACGUG